This is a long non-coding RNA of Ooceraea biroi (clonal raider ant), 2016 nucleotides long. RefSeq lists it as uncharacterized. NCBI's taxonomy places the organism in Eukaryota, Metazoa, Arthropoda, Insecta, Hymenoptera, Formicidae. The record is from RefSeq and is a predicted model, not a curated record.
CGUCAGACGAAUAAUUGAAUUACAGUGUAAGGCUAUAUCACUAUAUAUAAAAUAACUUUCCUGAAAGCAGUAAUAAAAGAAUUUUAAAUACGAAUUUAUCAGAAUUGAGAUUUCGUUUGUCUUUUAUAAGAUUUUUAUCUAUCUUCAUGUUGAGUAAACAGAAUCCUAAGAGACUUUCGAUAAUGCUGAUAUUAUCAAUCGAUUUUGAUAAUCGAGAAGUGCAUCUCGAGGAGUGAUCAUUGAUUUGAUGAUGAUUAAGAAAAUAUUUUUAAUUAGAUGCGACUUGAAUGACAUUAAUCUUUUAAUACUUCAUCUUUAAAACUCUUCAAUCUCUAUCUAUUCAUCCAAUUUGUGACGAUAUCAAUUAAUUAUCUAUAUGCGUCGACAGCUUUAAUAUUCUUAUCGAAAAUGUGACGUCGCAAAACACUUUUAAUUAAAUAAAAUCGCUUUGUUUAUCCAAAGCUUGUUUUCUCAAGUUGUUUUUAUUCUUUUUUAAAUUUAAUUUAAAACAAUAGUUGGAAGAAACAAACAAAUCUGAUAAUGAGAAUAAUACAUUAUUUUGCAGCCAUCUUUAAUGUUUAAAUGUGUGCAAUAGAUAUGCGUGUUGUGCUCGAUAUGUCUCACAUCUAUAAGAAAAUACGAAACAAAUCUUAUCUCGGUUUAUCUCGGCGGCAUAUUAUAUAGAAAUGAUGUCAAGUAACUCGUGACCAGCACGAAGUAUUAUCACAAUUAUAUCAUCACCAAAACAUUGACUGAAAGUUAUAAACAGUCCAGUACAAGGGUUAACGGUAUCUCGAUUGCUUCGGUAUCGACGUCGGCGAAUUGUUACUACGACGGAGCGAUCAAUUGUCUGAUAAUAUUCAGGAUAGCUUAUCUGAUUCAUCCAAUUUUUCCACUCAAUAUUAUUAAACUAUCGCAACAUACAAGGUAAUUAAUUUAUUUUCGUUUCAAUGUCUAGAUUUUCGUUAUGUCAAAAUAUCGCAUUUCCAUUUCAUUAAUCGUUCUUUAUUUCUACGUAUUUACCAAGAACAAAUCAAUGAAUGUCAAAAUAAAUCAGUGAACAAAUCAAUCCAGUGAGUUGUAAUCGAAUCCCGCAACAAGAAUAAAACGGAGAAAAAAAGGAGAAAGAACAAAACUUAAAAAUGAAUAAAGAUCGUCGUACGUAAUUGAUUGUUAAAUUUACAUUUUACGUUUAAUCGAUAUUUACUUUAUCCAUUUCAAAUAGAUUGACUGAUUUUUCUGCCAAGACGCGAUAAAAACUAGAAUGAUAGGCAAUGCGCUGUAAUGACGUGUAAUCAGGAAUGCAAUUACAAUCAAGACAAAACGUGAUGUGAAAUUGCAUUCAUUAACCUGGUCGGAGACGCACAGAAUACUUUGAUAGAUAUGAGUGCAUUCAGAAAUUGUAAAGUCGCAGACACGUCAAGGAACGAUAAAUUUCAACAAGACGACGCAAUCAGAGAAUCGCAUCAGCUGACAUUAAUUGACCGCCUGAUGCAUUCCAAAUGGUUUUCCCCGAGCAAUUCGCGCGACCGUUGUAAAAGCGAUAUCUCUGACGUAACGAAAGAAGCAUUGCGUGAAGAGAACGCGGUACCGCUUUGACUACGUCAGAGAUACCGCCUUAAUCAUCCAAUUCUGUGAUGAUACGCUACUGCUCGGUGAAUCGUAGCUUCAUUGAUUGCGACGCUCGUAAGCCGGGUCGACGGUCGUCAGGGGGAGAAGGGAAAAGAGAUUUCAAGUGGAACGUGCAUUUUCAGGGUUGGAAUAAGGGGUCGAAGUGCCCCAGGGGCACUCACGUUCCGAUAGUCUUUCCCACGUAAAGUCCGUUUGCGUUAGGAGCUGUUGCAGCAACAGAUGAUAAUGCACUUCCGAUUAAAAUCACUUCAGUGUUUGGGCUACAAACCUCUGCGAAUGUUUUUGAGAUUCUAGAGCAUGUAUAACAAAGUUUUAUGUUAACAAUUUGAAGUUUGAUUAAUUAUUUGUCGCUACAAAAUUGCGUUGCAAGUAAAUGGUUUAUUG